AGUGUCCAACGUAAAACCACAGACGCAACGGUUAGACUCAUUUGGAGUUUCACAUUAAAAGCACUGACCAUAUCCAUCAUUAAGAAAAAGCUUGUGUAGGGUAUAAAAUACAGUAUGUUGAUCAAAAACAUAUUAUAACGGGCUAUAACUUGUAUGGUCGUUCGGUUACGCAGAAGACAGUCUCUCCAUCCAAUACUGACAACGUUUAGAUUAUGCGUAAAUGACAGACCUUGUGAAUGGUUAGAAAUGUUACUUCCAACAGCUGUAGUUGCGUACUAGGUUUUAGUUUUGAAGCUUACACUCACUCGUUUACCUCGGAUUCAUGUCUGGUGAUCUGGCCGUAUCACUGCGGUCCUUCUCGACAUACCCCUUGUAAACUUCCCGCUGUCUCCUCGCUGCCAGUGCUCAUAUCAUGGGUCUUAUUUUGGAGGUCAAGGUGCGUCGGUCCCGCUGAAGCUGUCCGGGGACACCUUGAAGACCCCCAGAGGAAGCUAUUGUCUGACUUCCAUGUUCCCUGAUGAACCACAGAUAACCCUGCAGACUGAGAUUUGGCCACGUCUGUCCAGAUGCUGCUGUGACCACUCAUCAUACCAGACACACCCCACCAGCUUCAGACUGCCAUUGUCACCAAAGAUUGAACAGUAUAGGCUCAACACACACACACGCGCGUGCAUACUCGCUGCUCCUAAUUCAUUAUAAUGACCAGCUUUCAGACAGCUUUAGAGCACAGGCUUCCACAUCUUAUCUUGAAAGCUGGUUUACCCAACUUGGUUUGUGUGCUUUAGUGCUUUGAUGGCAAGUGUGUCUGUAAGGGUUAGGGCUAGUUUUCCUUUUUAAAAUUUAAAAAGACCAUUUUGCACUAAGCCUAAAUAUAUGUAAAUGUGACAAAGUUUUAGGUCACUUAGGAGGAUCAUAUUUUUAAAAUGUAAUAAAUAGUGAAGUGAAUGAAUGAUGGUGUAACAUAGAGCACCUUAUCACACAUUUGUGACACAGGGCCCUUAUCAGCAAAUUCCACCGUGCCCAUCAAUUUCCUCUUAAAGUUGUUGCAUUAUGUAAUCUUUCUGAUGCCGGAUUUGCCUCUUCUUGUUUCCAUGGAGAUGUCAUUGCUUUGUCUCUUUUAAAAUAUUUUGGCACUUAAUUUACAGUUUUAUUGCAAAGAAAAUACCUUGAAAUUAAUGCAUUCUUGCUCUGAGCUGGGUCACCUUACCACUGUUUCUGCCUGUCUCCAGCGAGAUAGAUAAGUUUAAUGCCAUACUCUGUAGAGUGAAGACACACAUGGAAGCAGGUGGUGGACCCUCAGUUAGAACAUGGUGUACAAAAUAUAUUGGAUAGGCUAUGCAUAACUGUUAAUAUCUUGCUCAAUAAAAAACUGAGUAACCUUUAA
Long non-coding RNA from Boleophthalmus pectinirostris (great blue-spotted mudskipper), 1384 nucleotides. RefSeq lists it as uncharacterized. Lineage: Eukaryota; Metazoa; Chordata; Actinopteri; Gobiiformes; Gobiidae. The record is from RefSeq and is a predicted model, not a curated record. The transcript has 3 exons.